This is a long non-coding RNA of Oenanthe melanoleuca, 173 nucleotides long. RefSeq lists it as uncharacterized. The transcript is spliced from 3 exons. The record is from RefSeq and is a predicted model, not a curated record. Lineage: Eukaryota; Metazoa; Chordata; Aves; Passeriformes; Muscicapidae.
UCUGGGGAUCCCAGGGGUCACUCAGGGGUCACUCAGGGACACUCAGGGGUCACUCAGGGUCACUCAGAGGUCACUCAGGGUCACUCAGAGGUCACUCAGGGAUCACUCAGGGUCACUCAGGGGUCACUCAGGGGUCACUCAGGGGUCACUCCGUGUCACUCAGAGGUCACUCA